This 761-nucleotide ribosomal RNA is filed under the name Prevotella melaninogenica. RNAcentral's name for it is "bacterial SSU rRNA". It matches the Rfam family "Bacterial small subunit ribosomal RNA", at positions 28 to 776 of the family's 1533-position model. The record is from RNAcentral. Lineage: Bacteria; Pseudomonadati; Bacteroidota; Bacteroidia; Bacteroidales; Prevotellaceae.
GAUGAACGCUAGCUACAGGCUUAACACAUGCAAGUCGAGGGGAAACGGCAUUGAGUGCUUGCACUCUUUGGACGUCGACCGGCGCACGGGUGAGUAACGCGUAUCCAACCUUCCCAUUACUGUGGGAUAACCUGCCGAAAGGCAGACUAAUACCGCAUAGUCUUCGAUGACGGCAUCAGAUUUGAAGUAAAGAUUUAUCGGUAAUGGAUGGGGAUGCGUCUGAUUAGCUUGUUGGCGGGGUAACGGCCCACCAAGGCUACGAUCAGUAGGGGUUCUGAGAGGAAGGUCCCCCACAUUGGAACUGAGACACGGUCCAAACUCCUACGGGAGGCAGCAGUGAGGAAUAUUGGUCAAUGGACGGAAGUCUGAACCAGCCAAGUAGCGUGCAGGAUGACGGCCCUAUGGGUUGUAAACUGCUUUUGUAUGGGGAUAAAGUUAGGGACGUGUCCCUAUUUGCAGGUACCAUACGAAUAAGGACCGGCUAAUUCCGUGCCAGCAGCCGCGGUAAUACGGAAGGUCCAGGCGUUAUCCGGAUUUAUUGGGUUUAAAGGGAGCGUAGGCUGGAGAUUAAGUGUGUUGUGAAAUGUAGACGCUCAACGUCUGAAUUGCAGCGCAUACUGGUUUCCUUGAGUACGCACAACGUUGGCGGAAUUCGUCAUGUAGCGGUGAAAUGCUUAGAUAUGACGAAGAACUCCGAUUGCGAAGGCAGCUGACGGGAGCGCAACUGACGCUUAAGCUCGAAGGUGCGGGUAUCAAACAGG